GGGUGCAGAGCCUCUAUAUUUACUGCUCUCCUGGAUACUGAUUUGUAAACAUGUAAAAAUAAGGCCGCUAAUGCCCUCAUGUAUCAUCAACAAAGAAAGUGACAAAUGAAUAAUUUUAUUUCCUUUUUGCAAUUUCUCAUUGAUGUGAUGUAAAUUUUCUGUUAGAAAGUCACACGAUUCUGUAUCUAUAUACUAGUAUGACAGUUUGCCUAAGUUUCACAAGACUGUUUUAUCUUAUUUUUGCAGAAUUUUUUUUUUUCUAGGUGUACAACUGUGCAAGUAUUGAACAUCGCAGCUUGAAAUGCAAUGUGACCUAAAAGACAACAUAAUAAUGGACAGAUGUUCUCUGGUCGUUCGUACUUGUUGGCCACACACAUGGAGAUAUUGAUCCUGCUUUCAGCUAAUAUCAGAAAAAUUAAGAACAAAGGAUGCUGAAACUGUGCAGUCACUGUUCAGGAUUAUUCCAGAUGUUUCAAAAGUGAAAUUAUAAUACAAUAUAUGUUACUGGUUAAUUCCUAUGAUUAGUAAUUUUAAACAACACACAGAGACUUUGCAUUAUUGUUUUACAAGAGAGACACCAAAAGAUGCAAUCAACAUUUAUCAUUUUUAUCAAAAUACACCCAGGACAAACCAUGGAUACACUUAGCUUGAAAUAUUGUGCUUUCUUACCAGAAUUGCCUGGAUGUAAAAGAAAUGAAGAACCUAAAUUCAUGACAACAAUCAGGAGAUACGCAGAAGAACUAGUAUAAAUGGUUAAAGAUGAAAGAAUGCAGAAUAAGGCAGGAUUGAAAGGAAGAAAGAACUAGUCAUCAGUAAAGAAACA
Molecule: long non-coding RNA, 823 nt
Organism: Mytilus californianus (California mussel)
Lineage: Eukaryota; Metazoa; Mollusca; Bivalvia; Mytilida; Mytilidae
Exons: 3
Source: RefSeq, a predicted model, not a curated record